Molecule: long non-coding RNA, 379 nt
Organism: Sinocyclocheilus grahami
Lineage: Eukaryota; Metazoa; Chordata; Actinopteri; Cypriniformes; Cyprinidae
Exons: 3
Source: RefSeq, a predicted model, not a curated record
GACGACUGAAUGGUAUUUCUUUCAAUGACACGUUAGAAUUAAUCUGCGCUGAGGUAACGUUCGCCAAGAUGUCGAUCAAGUUCAACUGACAACUGAAUUUGAGUUGGCUUAGCGGUCCUCGUCUCUCUCUGUUUUUUUCUUUUUCUUUUUUCACAUUUGAUAAAGAUAUUAAAGUAGUUUUUAAUUUUUUCUUGUUGUUAAAAUUCAAAAUAGUUUUUAAAUAUUAUUGGAUGUCACCGUUCCCACCAAUCCUUGCACAAGUUAAGGUUAAGCAUGAUGACGAAAGCACGUUAGUGCUAGCCCUCCCAGAACUCAUAGAGAUUGCAUUGCAGUGCCUGCAGUUCGAAAAAAAAAAGAUCUUUUUUUUGUAAGAUUUUAU